GAGGAAUAUUGGGCAAUGCCCGCAAGGGUGACCCAGCAACGCCGCGUGGAGGAUGAAUGUCGUAAGAUUGUAAACUCCUGUUAGAGGGGAAGAAUAGUACCGGUUGGACCGGUAUAUGACUGUACCCUCAGAGAAAGCCCCGGCUAACUACGUGCCAGCAGCCGCGGUAAUACGUAGGGGGCAAGCGUUGUCCGGAUUUACUGGGUGUAAAGGGCGCGCAGGCGGGAUAAAAAGUCAGUGGCGAAAUCCUACAGCUUAACUGUAGAGCUGCCUUUGAUACUUUUAUUCUUGAGUUCGGGAGAGAGAGACGGAAUUCCAGGUGUAGUGGUGAAAUACGUAGAUAUCUGGAAGAACACCAGUUGCGAAGGCGGUCUCUUGAUCCGACACUGACGCUGAGGCGCGAAAGCGUGGGGAGCAAACA
RNAcentral lists this ribosomal RNA (421 nucleotides) under uncultured bacterium. RNAcentral describes it as "bacterial SSU rRNA". It matches the Rfam family "Bacterial small subunit ribosomal RNA", at positions 356 to 774 of the family's 1533-position model. The record is from RNAcentral.